RNAcentral lists this ribosomal RNA (667 nucleotides) under Ceramiales sp. ARS-2011. RNAcentral describes it as "eukaryotic LSU rRNA". It matches the Rfam family "Eukaryotic large subunit ribosomal RNA", at positions 1264 to 1919 of the family's 3401-position model. The record is from RNAcentral. Lineage: Eukaryota; Rhodophyta; Florideophyceae; Ceramiales.
GAAUCCGCUAAGGAGUGUGUAACAACUCACCUGCCGAAUGAAUUAGCCCUGAAAAUGGAUGGCGCUGAAGCGGGCAGCCGACACCGCACCGUCUGGACAAAGUGGCGUUUCCGGAUGAGUAGGAGAGCGUGGCGGUCGUAUCGAAGCGUGCGUGCGAACGCGCGUGGAACGGCCGCUAGUGCAGAUCUUGGUGUUAGUAGCAAAUAUUCAAAUGAGAACCUUGAAGGGCGAAGCGGGGAAGGGUUCCACGCGAACAUUGAUUGAGCGUGGGUGAGCCGUUCCUAAACCGAGUGGCAAUCGCUAAUUACCGGUGAAAGGGAAGCAGGUUGACAUUCCUGCGCACGGAUGUGGAUGCGGUGACGCCCGUCUGGGACGAUUACGCUGGCGAGAGCGCUGGGCAGAGUUUUCUUUUCUGUUUGACCAAGCCGCGCGCACUGUGUGGAAUCCGCUUGUCGGGAGAAACACGUGCGUUUGGGCAGAGCGCCGGGAGUUUUCCGGCGUCCAGCUCGCUCUCGACGGCCCUUGAAACAUCGUCUGCUGGCAGAGAGUGACUUUGGUUGCUUUUUGUGCGAAAAAUUCCACGCCGUAACGUACCCAUAACCGCAUCAGGUCCCCAAGGUGAACAGCCUCUGCUCAAUAUGGUAAAUGCAGGUAAGGGAAGUCGGCA